CACCAUUUUUACUUCAGGUUAGACCACCUCAGGUUUUAUCUGUUUGGAAAGCAGGAAGGGUUAUAUUAUUCUGCAAAAAAAGGAACACAACUAGAGUUGAUAAUCUCAGGAACGUGAAAAAAUUUCAAUUGAACAAUCUUAAAGUUCAUCUAUCUAUGCAUGAAGAAUUCAUGGAUGCCAAGAACUUAUAACAGUAUGUUAACGAAGCUCCAUACAUCGUCUUACCUAUUUCUUUGAUCACAUUUUGAGAAAGUGAAUUCCUGUCUGCAAAAUAAGCGCCUUAGUAAACUUAGUAAACGGAAAUUAUAAAAUAACUUCUCAAGCUCAUUAUUUAUUACCUUUUCUGAUUAUGCAAGCCCACUUUAAUAUAUAAAGAAAGUCUUAGAUAUAUAGCCUACUUAUUAUUUUCUCACAAAUGUUUCACUCAUAUACACAGUAUUUAAAGCCUUUGUUUUAA
This is a long non-coding RNA of Physella acuta, 457 nucleotides long. RefSeq lists it as uncharacterized. The record is from RefSeq and is a predicted model, not a curated record. NCBI's taxonomy places the organism in Eukaryota, Metazoa, Mollusca, Gastropoda, Physidae.